GCUGUUACUUGAAUUUGUAUUAUUUAUAUUUAUUUAGAAAGCACAAAAUCACCACAUUAACUGCGUGUUUGUGUGUCAUACACAUUGACAGUGAAAACAAUAAAAUUAUAUUUUCUGUUUUUAUCUCUACUUUUCUAUUCUUUCUUUACAAAAAAAACAAAAAACACUAAAAACAAAAGCACAAAUCAAAGGCAUAGUUUUCUUUUCACCUCUCACUUUAUUUUCCUUUUUGUUUGAUCUCUUUUGUAUAAUAUCCAACAACAAAAAUGGGUUCAUACAGCAGAACAAGAUGUCGAGAUAUAUUCGAUUAUUAAAUUUACGAAAAAAUUGUUGUUAUUUUCAGGACUCAUCUGUUAUUUCACAGUUGGGGUUACCAGAUAUGCGUUUGCCUCUCCUCUACACAUUGUCAUGGCCAGAAAGAGUCCCUUGUUCUGAAGUAACUUGGCCCCGUCUUGAUCUUAGCAAGUAAUAUCACUUGAAAACCAUUUUAUUGAUUUAAGAGAGUUCCCUAUGCAAAUUUUUGGGUGAUUGAUAGAGUUUAUGUUCAAAAUUUGAAUACUCAGGUAUGGUUCCCUAACAUUUCAAGCACCAGACACUGAUAAGUUCCCAUCUGUGAAUCUUUGCUAUGCUGCUGGACGUGCCGGAGGAACAAUGACUGGAGUUCUCAGUGCAGCAAAUGAGAAAGCUGUUGAAUUAUUUGUUGAAGAAAAGUAAGUAGUAUUAACUUCCCUACUUAAUUUUUCUUAUGCAAAUUUCAUUGCAUUCUUUAUGUUUCUAUGGACAUUUUUAAUUACCUUUAUUGAAGGUUAUCAUACACUUGAGUAGUAUGCAUCUGGACUAUUGAAUUGCGUAAGCUUAUUUUUCCCAAGUAAAACUACUUACUAGUUUAUAUGAGAAGAACAAUCUUGUCUCUUUAUUAGAAACAAUUUUGCAGUUUCAAUCCACUAUUACAAUGACUACUCAUUUUCAAGAGAAUAUAUGCCACUUAACUUAUGUAGCAUGAAGAAUUCCUUCUAUUUGAAGCUAUGAAUAGUGAAAGAAACUAAUUGGCUGUUCCUAAGGAUGAGAGUUUGGAGAAGGAAGGAAAAUUAAGGGUUUUUAGUGUAAAAUUUACAGUAGAAAACUUUCUUUACCUUUCCUUCCAGUUCUCCCUGAAAUCCAACUCACAAACAGCCUCUAAGAAAACAUAUUAGUCCAAUAAUGUGUGCAUAUGCAUGUUUUGCGCAGACUCAUACCGCAAUUAGGGUAAAGUUAGCAAAACUGAAAUCUUAAAUCCUAAAUCCUAAUUCCUAAAACAAAUAAAACAUGCAUUAAAUACUGUUCUGAUUAACUACUUGGUUCUGUUUCCAGGAUUACCUAUCUGGAUAUUUUCAAGGUUGUGGAGUUAACAUGCGAAGCGCAUCAGAAAGAAUUGGUGCCGUCUCCUUCACUUGAGGAAAUCCUUCACUAUGACCAGUGGGCGCGACAAUAUGCUGCUGGUC
RNAcentral lists this long non-coding RNA (1481 nucleotides) under Arachis ipaensis. Its description in RNAcentral is "long non-coding RNA (AIPA_LNC002160)". Lineage: Eukaryota; Viridiplantae; Streptophyta; Magnoliopsida; Fabales; Fabaceae. The record is from RNAcentral.